RNAcentral lists this long non-coding RNA (4824 nucleotides) under Podarcis lilfordi (Lilford's wall lizard). The record is from RNAcentral. Lineage: Eukaryota; Metazoa; Chordata; Lepidosauria; Squamata; Lacertidae.
AGUGAGGGAAACAAUUUUGGGGAGAAAAUGAAGCUGGGCCUCAGUCCCUCACUUCUCACCCUCAUGUUCCUGGUGGCUUGCAUGGCCCAAGUCCUGAUGCCAGGGACAAGGACGAAAAGAAUGGUAAGCCCCUGGAUUCCUUUAAUGGAAUUCCCUUUCCGCAUCACCAUUGGAGGGGUAGGCACUUACCCCUCCACCAACCAAUUUGAACCAACGCCUAACCUUACAAGUUGUGAUGUUUUGCUACGCAGUAGGCAAAAACCAAAUGGCAGCAGCCAAUCAGCCAAAUGGACAAAAUUCCUACCAGGCCCCUGCCUCAAAGCAGACAGCCCCAUGACAGGCAUAGCAAGGUCAAGCGAACAACCCCCCCCCCCAAUACAGGGAGGGUGGGCGGGUGAUCUGGUGCAAGCAUCCAAGAGGACACUCAAAGUUGGGCGACCAAUAUUUAAAACCUCUGACCCCUCCUUCAAAAUUGGCAACAAGCAAUUCUCCCCAGCGACCCAAUUAACCAAUUCACUGCCUGGGUCACUCCGCAAAUCCACCCAGCAACACUGGGGUGGCUUGUAUCCCCCACCGCAACACAUGCUCUCUGCUAGGGAGAACACGUUAUACGGACAGAGCAGAGUUGGGCACAUCUGUCUGUUUUGGGCUUGCGACAUUUUUCACAUCUGUAAGUCCAUUCUAUCACAUUUCUGCAUAAAUUUGCACAUUAAAAUAUUAUCCAGAGCUUAUGCUGAUGCAUGAAGGAAGUAUUGGGCUAAGAAAGGACUAUAAGGAAUAGGAGGCUAAUUAGGCUCCUUUCAACAGAAUUUAAACAAACUUAUCUUAAUUUAGACCCCAAAAUCCCACCCCCAAUCUCCAGUAUGUCUCUUUUUUUAAAAGGUAUCAACUAUCACAUGUACAUAUCAGCAAGAGAUGACGAUGGACUUGUAAAAGGGUAAAAGAGUAUUGGGAAAUGAUCCAUAAUGAAUUGAAAAAAAUAUUUUAAAGAACUCCCCCCCCCCCAAAAGCCCCCCAGAGUCCUUUCUGUUGGGGACAAUUCAGAUUGAAAUUCCCAGGUGUCAAAAAAGGUUAUGUAUGCUACUACUGUGUCCCAUGUUUUGUUAGCCCCAAAAUGGAAAAUGAGCGAGGUCCCAACCAAAGAAGAAUGGCAACUUAAGUUGACAGAAUAUGCACAACUUGCAGACUUAACACAUAGAAUAAGAGAACAAGAAGAACAUUGGAAGAAGAUUGGAAAAUGUUUAUUGAAUAUAUGGGAAAUAAUUGUGGACAGCUGAAAAUGCAUUAAGAUAAAUUUGACAGUGUAAAUAAAUUUUGAUGGAUGCAAUAAUGGAAUACUGGAUGGUAUAGUUUUUGUAAAAUAUGCAGGGAUUUAUGAUAUGUAAAAUGAACCCUGGAGAGAGAAGAAGGGAAGUCAUUGAUAUCUUAAGGAUGUAAAAUGAGUAUUUUAAAUUGUAAAACAGAAAAUUUAAUAAUGAUAUAUCUCUUGGAUGGCCAAUAUUAUUCUCCACCUGGAAGUUUUCUCCUCCCUAUGGGAGGAGGUGCCAUUUUGAUGCAAAAUAAUUUGACAAAAUGUUUCCAGUAAUUUCAGCCACCACUAUAUUUAGGUGAGAUACAGUAAAAAUACAGAUAGUAUUUUUGUUACAUUUGUUAGAACAGUGAUGUAUAAACAUACAAGGGUUAAAACAAGACAUUAAUACAAAAUGGUGCAGUCAGCAUUAUAAUGUCACAAACUUGUUUUUAUCUGUAAGCUGCCUUGAGUCCCAUUGGGAAAAAGGCGAAGUAUAAAUAAAUAUAUGAUAAUAAUGAUAAUAACCUAUCCAGAUGUGACAUGUAAUCCUGACAAGUAAUUUUAAUGCACAAUUUUGCAAUAAUAUGCAUACUUUUUAAGAUUGCUGAUUUUAAUUCUAUUUUAAAUUUGUUAAAUUCAACUUGAUCUUUUGAUCUUAUAUUUUAUUUUAUCAAUAUUUUUUUUAAAUUGUUUUUUAUAUUGCUUUAUGCAAUCCUUCUAGAGAUGUACGGAUAUAAACCCUGUUAAGUACAUAAAAUAAAUAUCCACACCACCCAAGCAGGAAAAGAAUACCAGGGAUAGAUAAUCAGUUGGAACAAGACCUCGAAUCAACCAUCCCAUCUCGUCAAAUGCCUGGGAGGAGAGGAAGGACUUAAACUGGGGUUGAAAAGAUGACAAAGUUGGUGUCAAAUGAGGCUCACUGUGGAGAGUAUUCCACAGAUAGGGGGACACUACUGAAAAGACCCUGUCCUUUGUCACCACUCUUCAAAACUCCCUUAGAGGAGGUAACUGGAGCAGCUCCUCAGAUGCUGAUGUAAGGGAUGGGCACAGGUGUCCCAUCAAGUAUUGGAGAACCCAUUUACAUGCCAAAUAUUUGGAACAUCAAAAAUUUCAGCAUCGGCCAUGCACUUCAUCUCAGCCACCCACAUCUGGCCUACGCAUGCAAAAGAAACAUGCUUCUGAUGUUCAAGCCGUGUGUGUCUAGUUCAAACUAAAGAGAGUUUAAUAUUUAAAAUGUGUCUUCGAAAUAUCUUGGAUGUUCAGACUAGUCGGAGUUAAUGUUCUGCUAUUAAAUAUUCAGUUUUACCAAGACCUUUUAAUGCACAAGCAGUUUUCCUUCCUCCUUCCUUUCUUUUUUAAUCAUGUCAUACGCACAAAGAAGACGCGUUUGAAGAGACCACAAAUACAUUGCAGCGACUUGCAUUUUUGUUGUUGUUGAAAAGCUGCUAAAUGUUUUUUUUUCCCUGCUGAUGCCCUUGUGAAGUUGUCACUCUGUGACUGAAGCUGUUCUAUGGCUGCAAAGCCAGCCCCCCCCCUUUUAUUUGCAGAAAUAGAUGAGCAUUUUUGCAGAAACGUCUCCACCACCAAUGUUAGGCUGAAGCCUUGUUCAUGAAACCCAAAACUUUUAACGCCUUGCGGACAUGAUGUGAAUCAUAGGUGCCAACUAUGCAGGGUGCCCGGGUGCCCACAAAUUUUAAAUGAAGGGGUUGCCCCCCUCCCCGAUUCCACUUGGCAGCACACACAUGCCAGGGGGCAUACAUCCCAUCCAUCAUGCAUGUUUUGGGACUCGAUGCUGGUUUUUCUCUCAGAAAACACUAAAAAAAUCUUCCCACCCCCAUUUUAGCAAUUGACUACUUUUGAACUGUUUCUAUAGCAGCACAAAUGAGGUGUGUGUGUGUGGGGGGGAGAAGUGUUUAACCACUGAUAUAUUAGUGCUGGGAAAGCUAACAAUUACCAGGAGAUUUUCUUUUUCUUGUUUUUUUCCAACCUUAUUAAAGAAAUUGCAUUAAAGAUGAAUGAGCAUUUAUUUGGAAUAAUUGUGUUUUAAGGUAGGUAAGAUUAAAAGAUAUUGAAUGGAAUAUUGACUGUUUGGUAGGAAUAGGAAUAAUGAGAUUCCCGUUGCCUAAUCUUACGAUAAUUGGGUUAUUACUAUGCAAAUUAAGGUAUUACCUUUAAAAAAGAAGGUAAAGGAGAGGCUAGAGACAGCCAUUUAUCUCUCUAUCCUUAAAGCUACGCUGCCACUUGCCUUUAGGUUGAAGAUCCCUUUUAAAAACAAUGUGGCAAUAUAUAGUUCAUCAUCAUCAUUAGUUUGUUAUAUAUAUUUGUACGCUCUUCCGGAACCUUUUAGGGAUAAUUGACCCAACACCUAACCUUGUGAUCUCCAACACCACCCCCAUUGGAUCAGAUCAGAGACUUACCUCUCUCGCCAUUGCAGUGCCCACAAGCACAAGUUGUGCCCAUAAUAAUAAUAAUAAUAAUAAUAAUUUAUACCCCACCCAUGUGGCUGGGUUUCCUAUCAUAUGUACCAGCUCCUAGGGGUUGAGGAAGUUUUGGGCCCCCCCAAUUUUUUUUGAGGGGGCUGGGUGAUCUCAAUGCUUAGAGUGUGUUGGGCCCUUGGCUCCUGUGACAUCACAUGCACAACGUCAGGACAUCAUGUUGUGCCCCCUCAAUCAGCUUGAGAAGAUGGCGCCUUUGCCUCCUGUGGCACCCAGGAAAGGUCUCAGAAUACGUACAUCCCACCCAAAAUACACACUGCAUGAGAGACUGUUCAGUUGCUGUUUGCACUGGCUCAGCCUCUCCUACAUUAAACAUACCCCUCAGACAUGCCCAUGUUUCACUAGAUCUCAGGAUUGGACGCCCACCAUCCCUUCUAUUCCGAACAGAGGAGAGAAAAGCUUUUAUUCUUCUGUCAGAGAGCGUGGUCUAUUAAGUAGUGGGUGGACAUAGCAGACGAUACAGAAAUUUCUCCAAGUACAUUUAUAAGUACAGUGGUACCUCUGGUUGCGAACGGGAUCCAUUCCGGAGUCCCGUUCACAACAUGAGCAGAACACAACCUGCGUCUGCACGGGUCGCAAUUCAUCGCGUCUGCGCAUGCGCAUGACGUCAUUUUGCACGUCUGCGCAUGCACGAGCAGCAAAACCUGGAAGUAACCCUUUCCGGUACUUCUGGGUCGCCGCGGGAUGCAACCUGAAAAAAUGUAUCAUGAAGCAAACGCAACAUGAGGUAUGACUGUAAGCUGGAACUGAACUGAACAGCAAACAGCUCAGCUGGCCUGCUUUUAUAGGCAGCCGGCUGUCAACAUUGUAACAACAACAGCCUAGGGUUUCCCACCUAAAUUAACUGACGUGGACCUGAGUGAAAACUAUAUACACAAUACCCCCCUGGUGGCCAGGGUGAGAACUUCAAUACAUAACAUGGUCAAAUGUCAACGCCAUUUUGUGGCCCUCUCUUUUUCUCUGCUCUUUUAAAUUCAGCGGCCAUUUUGUGUGUGUGUGUGUUUUUUUAAAUAAUAUUUAUUAAUUUUCCAACCGUUU